UGGUGAUCAUAUGACUGACGGAACAAGUGGAAGACCACGUGGAGUAUGAUCGAUAACCGGCCGACCGUCUGGGCAGAAAAA
This 81-nucleotide non-coding RNA is filed under the name [Clostridium] symbiosum. Its description in RNAcentral is "Clostridium symbiosum ZTP sequence". It matches the Rfam family "ZMP/ZTP riboswitch aptamer (pfl RNA motif)". From Rfam's summary of the family: Previously known as pfl RNA. Lineage: Bacteria; Bacillati; Bacillota; Clostridia; Lachnospirales; Lachnospiraceae. RNAcentral also lists the same sequence under 1 other name. The record is from RNAcentral.